ACUCCUACGGGAGGCAGCAGUGGGGAAUAUUGCACAAUGGGCGCAAGCCUGAUGCAGCCAUGCCGCGUGUGUGAAGAAGGCCUUCGGGUUGUAAAGCACUUUCAGUAAGGAGGAAAGGUUAGUAGUUAAUACCUGCUAGCUGUGACGUUACUUACAGAAGAAGCACCGGCUAACUCCGUGCCAGCAGCCGCGGUAAUACGGAGGGUGCGAGCGUUAAUCGGAAUUACUGGGCGUAAAGCGUACGCAGGCGGUUUGUUAAGCGAGAUGUGAAAGCCCCGGGCUCAACCUGGGAACUGCAUUUCGAACUGGCAAACUAGAGUGUGAUAGAGGGUGGUAGAAUUUCAGGUGUAGCGGUGAAAUGCGUAGAGAUCUGAAGGAAUACCGAUGGCGAAGGCAGCCACCUGGGUCAACACUGACGCUCAUGUACGAAAGCGUGGGGAGCAAACGGGAUUAGAUACCCUGGUAGCUACGAGU
RNAcentral lists this ribosomal RNA (474 nucleotides) under uncultured bacterium. RNAcentral describes it as "bacterial SSU rRNA". It matches the Rfam family "Bacterial small subunit ribosomal RNA", at positions 335 to 802 of the family's 1533-position model. The record is from RNAcentral.